GACGAACGCUGGCGGCGUGCUUAAUACAUGCAAGUCGACGACUUUUAGAGUAGCAAUAUUCUAAAGGAAGUGGCGCACGGGUGAGUAACACGUAGGUAAUCUGCCUUCAGGACUGACACAACUCGUCGAAAAGACGGGCUAAUAUCAGAUAAUGCAGCGGCUCCGCAUGGAGACAGUUUGUUAAAGUACAAGCGCCUGAAGAUGAGCCUGCGGUCCAUUAGCUAGUUGGUAGAGUAACAGCCUACCAAGGCAACGAUGGAUAGCUGGUCUGAGAGGAUGAUCAGCCACACUGGAACUGAGACACGGUCCAGACUCCUACGGGAGGCAGCAGUAAGGAAUAUUGCUCAAUGGCCGAAAGGCUGAAGCAGCAACGCGCGUGAAGGAUGAAUGGCCUUUGGCCUGUAAACUUCUGUAAAAAGGGAAACAAAUCAGGCAUGUCCUGAUUUGAUUGUACCUUUGAAGU
RNAcentral lists this ribosomal RNA (463 nucleotides) under uncultured bacterium. RNAcentral describes it as "bacterial SSU rRNA". It matches the Rfam family "Bacterial small subunit ribosomal RNA", at positions 28 to 487 of the family's 1533-position model. The record is from RNAcentral.